This 728-nucleotide long non-coding RNA is filed under the name Pan troglodytes (chimpanzee). Its description in RNAcentral is "long non-coding RNA NONPTRT017236". Lineage: Eukaryota; Metazoa; Chordata; Mammalia; Primates; Hominidae. The record is from RNAcentral.
AACGGGACGGAACGGGACGGGACGGGACGGGGACUCAGAUGUUUCUCAUAAACAAGGAAUGAAUCUCUGGGUUGGCCACUCCUGGAUUCCCUAGCUUGAAACACACAUUCAGGUAGUGGACAUCUGAAACCCUAAAACAUCUCAUCUGUGCAAAAAAGAGGAAUGAUCCAGGUUGGGAGAGUGAGAAGCUCGCACCACUUCGAAAGCGUCUGCCUGGAUGCUGAAGUUCGGGUUGUUCUUGUAGCUCUGGAUCACACAGGACUUCACACCUUGUCCUCCGCACUCAAUGAGAGCCUGAGGCCGAUCCACAGAGAGGAGCUGCACCUUCUUCAUUUCCCGAACUCCCCAGAAGAGAACCUGAGAAGACCAGCAGAGCCAUCAUCACAGAUCCACGGAGGAGCCCCACACCUGCCCUGGCUCUGUGUGGAAAAGUCAGACCUGCUCCCUGAGAACCACGCUGUGUUCCUCCAGGAAAGAACUGCACAGCUUUUUGAGGGCUCAUUCUUUUUCUCUAGGUCUCCCGCCCAUUCCAUACCACCUCUCCUACAAUUCAGGUGGGGCCACUGCCCUUGAGUGCCACAGAACAACUCAGCUCCUCCGCUGACUCGUACCUCCACUCGGUAUUUGCUCAGCACCGGCCGAAUGUUGGCAGGAACCGGGUAGAUCUGGGUGAUGUCUGGUGGCUCAAUGGGUAGGAGGCCUUGCAGCCCGGAAGAAGGAACCUACCG